RNAcentral lists this ribosomal RNA (306 nucleotides) under uncultured bacterium. RNAcentral's name for it is "bacterial SSU rRNA". It matches the Rfam family "Bacterial small subunit ribosomal RNA", at positions 29 to 334 of the family's 1533-position model. The record is from RNAcentral.
AAUGAACGCUGGCGGCAUGGAUUAGGCAUGCAAGUCGAACGAGAAAUCCACUUCGGUGGACGGAAAGUGGCGCAAGGGUGAGUAACGCGUGAGUAACCUGCCUCGAGGUUGGGGAUAGCCCCGCGAAAGCGGGAUUAAUACCGAAUACGGCGGUUUGACAUCAGUCAAGCUUGCUAAAGGAGCAAUCCGCCAUGAGAUGGGCUCGCGUCCUAUUAGCUUGUUGGUGAGGUAACGGCUCACCAGGGCGAUGACAGGUAGGUGGUCUGAGAGGAUGGUCACCCACACUGGGACUGAGACACUGCCCAG